This 495-nucleotide ribosomal RNA is filed under the name uncultured bacterium. RNAcentral describes it as "partial 16S ribosomal RNA". It matches the Rfam family "Bacterial small subunit ribosomal RNA", at positions 28 to 507 of the family's 1533-position model. The record is from RNAcentral.
GACGAACGCUGGCGGCGUGCCUAAUACAUGCAAGUAGAACGCUGAAGGAGGAGCUUGCUUCUCUGGAUGAGUUGCGAACGGGUGAGUAACGCGUAGGUAACCUGCCUGGUGGCGGGGGAUAACUAUUGGAAACGAUAGCUAAUACCGCAUAAUAGCAGUUGUUGCAUGACAACUGUUUGAAAGGUGCAAUUGCACCACUACCAGAUGGACCUGCGUUGUAUUAGCUAGUUGGUGGGGUAACGGCUCACCAAGGCGACGAUACAUAGCCGACCUGAGAGGGUGAUCGGCCACACUGGGACUGAGACACGGCCCAGACUCCUACGGGAGGCAGCAGUAGGGAAUCUUCGGCAAUGGACGGAAGUCUGACCGAGCAACGCCGCGUGAGUGAAGAAGGUUUUCGGAUCGUAAAGCUCUGUUGUAAGAGAAGAACGAGUGUGAGAGUGGAAAGUUCACACUGUGACGGUAUCUUACCAGAAAGGGACGGCUAACUACGUG